This 492-nucleotide ribosomal RNA is filed under the name uncultured bacterium. Its description in RNAcentral is "partial 16S ribosomal RNA". It matches the Rfam family "Bacterial small subunit ribosomal RNA", at positions 29 to 507 of the family's 1533-position model. The record is from RNAcentral.
AGUGAACGCUGGCGGUAGGCCUAACACAUGCAAGUCGAACGGCAGCACAGUAAGAGCUUGCUCUUACGGGUGGCGAGUGGCGGACGGGUGAGGAAUACAUCGGAAUCUACUUUUUCGUGGGGGAUAACGUGGGGAAACUUACGCUAAUACCGCAUACGACCUACGGGUGAAAGCAGGGGAUCUUCGGACCUUGCGCGAUUGAAUGAGCCGAUGUCGGAUUAGCUAGUUGGCGGGGUAAAGGCCCACCAAGGCGACGAUCCGUAGCUGGUCUGAGAGGAUGAUCAGCCACACUGGAACUGAGACACGGUCCAGACUCCUACGGGAGGCAGCAGUGGGGAAUAUUGGACAAUGGGCGCAAGCCUGAUCCAGCCAUACCGCGUGGGUGAAGAAGGCCUUCGGGUUGUAAAGCCCUUUUGUCGGGAAAGAAAAGCAGCAGGUUAAUACCCCGCUGUUCUGACGCUACCCAAAGAAUAAGCACCGGCUAACUUCGUG